UACGUAGGGGGCAAGCGUUGUCCGGACUUACUGGGCGUAAAGCGUGUGCAGGCGGGCCGCUAUGUGCCGUGUGAAAGCUCUCAGCUUAUCUGGGAGAGGUCGCGGUAGACAGGCAGCCUGGAGGCUCGGAGAGGUCAGUGGAAUUCUCGGUGUAGUGGUGAAAUGCGUAGAUAUCGAGAGGAACACCAGAGGCGAAGGCGGCUACCUGGACAAUUGCUGACGCUCAGGCACGAAAGCGUGGGGAGCAAAAGGG
RNAcentral lists this ribosomal RNA (253 nucleotides) under uncultured bacterium. Its description in RNAcentral is "partial 16S ribosomal RNA". It matches the Rfam family "Bacterial small subunit ribosomal RNA", at positions 524 to 776 of the family's 1533-position model. The record is from RNAcentral.